Molecule: ribosomal RNA, 690 nt
Filed under: Lysobacteraceae bacterium MR-I18
Lineage: Bacteria; Pseudomonadati; Pseudomonadota; Gammaproteobacteria; Lysobacterales; Lysobacteraceae
Description: bacterial SSU rRNA
Rfam family: Bacterial small subunit ribosomal RNA
Source: RNAcentral
ACAUGCAGUCGACGGCAGCACAGCAGUAGCAAUACUGUGGGUGGCGAGUGGCGGACGGGUGAGGAAUACAUCGGAAUCUACCUUGUCGUGGGGGAUAACGUAGGGAAACUUACGCUAAUACCGCAUACGACCUUCGGGUGAAAGUGGGGGACCGCAAGGCCUCACGCGAUUAGAUGAGCCGAUGUCGGAUUAGCUAGUUGGCGGGGUAAUGGCCCACCAAGGCGACGAUCCGUAGCUGGUCUGAGAGGAUGAUCAGCCACACUGGAACUGAGACACGGUCCAGACUCCUACGGGAGGCAGCAGUGGGGAAUAUUGGACAAUGGGCGCAAGCCUGAUCCAGCCAUACCGCGUGGGUGAAGAAGGCCUUCGGGUUGUAAAGCCCUUUUGUUGGGAAAGAAAUCCUAUCGAUUAAUACUCGGUGGGGAUGACGGUACCCAAAGAAUAAGCACCGGCUAACUUCGUGCCAGCAGCCGCGGUAAUACGAAGGGUGCAAGCGUUACUCGGAAUUACUGGGCGUAAAGCGUGCGUAGGUGGUUGUUUAAGUCUGUUGUGAAAGCCCUGGGCUCAACCUGGGAAUUGCAGUGGAUACUGGGCGACUAGAGUGUGGUAGAGGAUAGUGGAAUUUCCGGUGUAGCAGUGAAAUGCGUAGAGAUCGGAAGGAACAUCUGUGGCGAAGGCGACUAUCUGGGC